RNAcentral lists this ribosomal RNA (587 nucleotides) under Trichoderma spirale. RNAcentral's name for it is "eukaryotic LSU rRNA". The stretch from base 198 to 351 matches the Rfam family "5.8S ribosomal RNA". The record is from RNAcentral. Lineage: Eukaryota; Fungi; Ascomycota; Sordariomycetes; Hypocreales; Hypocreaceae.
GAGUUUACAACUCCCAAACCCAAUGUGAACGUUACCAAACUGUUGCCUCGGCGGGAUCUCUGCCCCGGGUGCGUCGCAGCCCCGGACCAAGGCGCCCGCCGGAGGACCAACCAAAACUCUUUUGUAUACCCCCUCGCGGGUUUUUAUAUAUCUGAGCCAUCUCGGCGCCUCUCGUAGGCGUUUCGAAAAUGAAUCAAAACUUUCAACAACGGAUCUCUUGGUUCUGGCAUCGAUGAAGAACGCAGCGAAAUGCGAUAAGUAAUGUGAAUUGCAGAAUUCAGUGAAUCAUCGAAUCUUUGAACGCACAUUGCGCCCGCCAGUAUUCUGGCGGGCAUGCCUGUCCGAGCGUCAUUUCAACCCUCGAACCCCUCCGGGGGGUCGGCGUUGGGGAUCGGCCCUUUACGGGGCCGGCCCCGAAAUACAGUGGCGGUCUCGCCGCAGCCUCUCCUGCGCAGUAGUUUGCACACUCGCAUCGGGAGCGCGGCGCGUCCAUUGCCGUUAAACACCCAACUUUCUGAAAUGUUGACCUCGGAUCAGGUAGGAAUACCCGCUGAACUUAAGCAUAUCAAUAAGCGGAGGGAAAAAAA